AACGUAGGUGGCGAGCGUUAUCCGGAAUUACUGGGCGUAAAGCGUGUGCAGGCGGGCUGACAAGUGGGGUAUGAAAUCUUCCGGCUUAACCGGGAGCGGUUGUGCCAGACUGUCAGUCUUGAGUGCGAGAGAAGAGCGUGGAAUUCCGGGUGUAGUGGUGAAAUGCGUAGAGAUCCGGAGGAACCCCAGAGGCGAAGGCGGCGCUCUGGCUCGCAACUGACGCUCAGACACGACAGCAUGGGGAGCGAACGGG
RNAcentral lists this ribosomal RNA (253 nucleotides) under uncultured bacterium. RNAcentral's name for it is "partial 16S ribosomal RNA". It matches the Rfam family "Bacterial small subunit ribosomal RNA", at positions 524 to 776 of the family's 1533-position model. The record is from RNAcentral.